AACGAACGCUGGCGGCAGGCUUAACACAUGCAAGUCGAACGAGAUCUUCGGAUCUAGUGGCAGACGGGUGAGGAACACGUGGGAACAUCCCUUUCAGUUCGGAAUAACGUUGGGAAACUAACGCUAAUAACGGAUACGUCCUUCGGGAGAAAGAUUUAUCGCUGAAAGAUUGGCCCGCGUCUGAUUAGCUAGUUGGUGAGGUAAUGGCUCACCAAGGCUACGAUCAGUAGCUGAUCUGAGAGGAUGAUCAGCCACAUUGGGACUGAGACACGGCCCAAACUCCUACGGAAGGCAGCAGUUGGGAAUAUUGGACAAUGGGCGCAAGCCUGAUCCAGCCAUGCCGCGUGAGUGAUGACGGCCUUCGGGUUGUAAAGCUCUUUUGUCCGGGAAGAUAAUGACUGUACCGGAAGAAUAAGCCCCGGCAAACUUCGUGCCAGCCGCCGCGGUAA
RNAcentral lists this ribosomal RNA (449 nucleotides) under uncultured bacterium. RNAcentral's name for it is "partial 16S ribosomal RNA". It matches the Rfam family "Bacterial small subunit ribosomal RNA", at positions 29 to 523 of the family's 1533-position model. The record is from RNAcentral.